GAUGAACGCUGGCGGCGUGCCUAAUACAUGCAAGUCGAGCGAACAGACGAGGAGCUUGCUCCUCUGACGUUAGCGGCGGACGGGUGAGUAACACGUGGAUAACCUACCUAUAAGACGGGUAUAACUUCGUGAAACCGGAGCUAAUACCGUAUAAUAUAUUGAACCGCAGUGUGCAAUAGUGAAAGACGGUUGUGCUGUCACUUAUCGAUGGAUCUGCGCUGCAUUAGCUAGUUGGGAAGGUAACGGCUUACCACGGCGACGAGGCGUAGACGACGUGAGAGGGUGAUAGGCCACCCGAGAACUGAACCACGGACAAUGCUACUAAGGGAGGCAGCAGUAGAGAAUGUUACGCAAUGGUCGAAAGCUUGACGGAGCAACGCCGCGUGAGUGAUGAAGGCCUUCGGAGCGUAAUACUCUGUUAUUAGGGAAGAACCAAUGUCUAAGUAACUAUGCACGUCUUGACGGUACCUAAUCAGAAAGCAACGGCUAACUACGUG
Molecule: ribosomal RNA, 497 nt
Filed under: uncultured bacterium
Lineage: Bacteria
Description: partial 16S ribosomal RNA
Rfam family: Bacterial small subunit ribosomal RNA
Source: RNAcentral